CAUUUGCCCGGUGGUGGUAUUGUUGUUGGUGGUGUCGUUGCUGGGUCCGCUCUCUCAUCUUGCAGUUCCUCCAUUGAUGUUCCAGAGAUUAACUGUUUGAAAAGGAAGGAAGAGUGUUACUGCGAAGGUCUAAGUAAACAACAACAACAACAACAACAACAACAACAACAACAACAAUAACAACCCACCUGGAGAGAAAGCAAGAGAGACAAAGAAGUUAUCCACAACAUGACGUGCGUGUGUGAAGGUGUCCUGUACGUGGCGAAGGUGGUAUGGGUGCUGGCUUGACCGUGUCCGUGGCUCACCUUUAUAAUGAUGUAGAAAUGAGGGUGAAACAUCUGUGCUAUUCUCAGUGUGUAUGUGUGUAUGUGUGUGUGUGUGUGUGUGUGUGUGUGUGUGUGUAUUCAUCUAUGGGAGUCUAUCGUUCAUUCAACUCAGAUAGACAGACAGACAGACAGACAGACAGACAGGCGGACAGACAGCAGCACCCUACCAAAUACACACGUAAAAUAAGUAAAUAGAUAAAUAAAUUAAUUAAUAAAUAAAUAAAUACAUAAAUAAAUGAUAA
Molecule: long non-coding RNA, 568 nt
Organism: Portunus trituberculatus (swimming crab)
Lineage: Eukaryota; Metazoa; Arthropoda; Malacostraca; Decapoda; Portunidae
Exons: 2
Source: RefSeq, a predicted model, not a curated record